CCUACGGGAGGCAGCAGUGAGGAAUAUUGGUCAAUGGACGAGAGUCUGAACCAGCCAAGUAGCGUGAAGGAUGACUGCCCUAUGGGUUGUAAACUUCUUUUAUAUGGGAAUAAAAUGUUCCACGUGUGGGAUUUUGUAUGUACCAUAUGAAUAAGGAUCGGCUAACUCCGUGCCAGCAGCCGCGGUAAUACGGUGGAUCCGAGCGUUAUACGGAUUUACUGGGUUUAAAGGGAGCGUAGGUGGAUUGUUAAGUCAGUUGUGAAAGCUGGCGGCUCAACCGUAAAAUUGCAGUCGAAACUGGCAGGGUUGAGUAUAGUAGAGGUGGGCGGAAUGCGUGGUGUAGCGGUGAAAUGCUUAGAGAUCACGAAGAACUCCGAUUGCGAAGGCAGCUCACUGGACUGCAACUGACACUGAGGCUCGAAAGUGUGGGUAUCAAACAGGAUUAGAUACCCCUGUAGUC
This 460-nucleotide ribosomal RNA is filed under the name uncultured bacterium. RNAcentral describes it as "partial 16S ribosomal RNA". It matches the Rfam family "Bacterial small subunit ribosomal RNA", at positions 338 to 795 of the family's 1533-position model. The record is from RNAcentral.